CUUCAUUACGGUGGCGGCACAGUGAUUACACACCCUUUUCCCUCCGAGAGCGUAAGUAUUCAGGGAAGCAUCUCCGAGGAUCUCCUGGGAGGACUGUCCCUUGUCCUGGGAGAAGCAGCGGCACGGCCCCCGGUCCCGCCCCCGUGGAGGCACAAUCACCUGUGUUUACCGGCGACCAGUUUUGGAGAUAAGGAGCCACGUGUCCGCCCGGCACCAGCCGCCUCCUCCAAGGCAGGCGUGGGUUCUAGGAGGAGCCGAGGAGGAGGACUGCCGGCCGCCCCCAGGCCUCUCUUCCCGGGCGGGGGCCGCGGGCCGUGGUUCCCACGCGUCACAAGAGCGAACACCCCGGCUCUGCCUGGUGAGAUGGGGGCCUCGGUGUUGGGGGCGGGGGGUCAUUUAAACCCGCCUCCGCUUGGAAAGAUUCUGCUUUGUUCCGUGUGUGUGCUUACUGUUCUAAUCUAGCAAAUGUUUCCCAUUUAAGUCUCGGGUAAAAGUUUCCUAACAGAAAAUUACACAGAAAGCUGGAAAGUGAA
Molecule: long non-coding RNA, 533 nt
Organism: Myotis brandtii (Brandt's bat)
Lineage: Eukaryota; Metazoa; Chordata; Mammalia; Chiroptera; Vespertilionidae
Exons: 2
Source: RefSeq, a predicted model, not a curated record